UAGUAUUGUGGCAUUUCUACGGUUUUAAAAUUUGGUCACUCUGUAACACAUUAUGACGCUCGCAACUAGAAAUAAUAACGAUUUUAGAAACGAAAAUUAGGUCGAUAUCCGUUAGCCGAUUUUGAAAACCCCUCGGUUUAAGCGCCCGUGUAUAUUUCCCAUUUAUUAAUGAUUUGAAAAAUUACUACUGCACUAAUUUACGUAUUUAUAUUGGUCCAUUUAAAAGGUGUACAAAAAUUUGUACAUCAGUGGACGUCAAGCAAACCUUAUGGAAUAAUAACCUUGAUUGUAAAUGUCUGUGAAACGUGAUCAUAUGGACAUUUUCUGUGCUGCCUAUUGAAUAACCUAUUUACAUGUGUGCUCCUCGAGUACCUUUGUACAUACAUCGCAUUUAACCUGGCAGCACCAGUGGAAUUUGCAGUUGCAGCGCUCACGAACGAUGAUAUUUUUGGUGUUGUAGCCUCGGCCACAGCAGAGUAUACCGCAGCCAUCGAGACCCGACGAAGACUUGUUACAGACACGACCAUGCGUACCUAAAAGAUUUCAAUUAGAAUUGUUUACCAAUACUGUGCUACACUGUGAAUGACUUACCUGUCCACUGCAAUAGACGAUUGGUACGACACCA
Molecule: long non-coding RNA, 625 nt
Organism: Drosophila innubila
Lineage: Eukaryota; Metazoa; Arthropoda; Insecta; Diptera; Drosophilidae
Exons: 2
Source: RefSeq, a predicted model, not a curated record